Molecule: non-coding RNA, 21 nt
Filed under: Arabidopsis thaliana (thale cress)
Lineage: Eukaryota; Viridiplantae; Streptophyta; Magnoliopsida; Brassicales; Brassicaceae
Source: RNAcentral
UAAGCGUGCUUGGGCGAGAGU